Molecule: ribosomal RNA, 253 nt
Filed under: uncultured bacterium
Lineage: Bacteria
Description: partial 16S ribosomal RNA
Rfam family: Bacterial small subunit ribosomal RNA
Source: RNAcentral
GACGUAGGGAGCAAGCGUUGUCCGGAAUUACUGGGCGUAAAGAGCUCGUAGGCGGGAGCGUAAGUCUGAAAGGAAAUCUCAAGGCUCAACUUUGGGGCUUUUUCAGAUACUGCGCUUCUUGAGGAUAUCAGAGGAAAGUAGAAUUCCCGGUGUAGCGGUGAAAUGCGUAGAGAUCCGGAAGAACACCGGUGGCGAAGGCGGUUAGCUGGGCAGUUGCUGACACUGAGGCGCGACAGCGUGGGGAGCAAACAGG